RNAcentral lists this ribosomal RNA (249 nucleotides) under uncultured Actinomycetales bacterium. RNAcentral describes it as "partial 16S ribosomal RNA". It matches the Rfam family "Bacterial small subunit ribosomal RNA", at positions 355 to 616 of the family's 1533-position model. The record is from RNAcentral. Lineage: Bacteria; Bacillati; Actinomycetota; Actinomycetes; Actinomycetales.
UGGGGAAUAUUGGGCAAUGGAGGAAACUCUGACCCAGCGACGCCGCGUGAGGGAUGAAGGCCUUCGGGUUGUAAACCUCUUUCAGUAGGGAAGAAGCGAAAGUGACGGUACCUACAGAAGAAGCACCGGCUAACUAUGUGCCAGCAGCCGCGGUAAUACAUAGGGUGCAAGCGUUGUCCGGAAUUAUUGGGCGUAAAGAGCUCGUAGGUGGUUCGAUACGUCGGAUGUGAAAAUCAGGGGCUCAACCCC